Molecule: ribosomal RNA, 184 nt
Filed under: uncultured bacterium
Lineage: Bacteria
Description: partial 16S ribosomal RNA
Rfam family: Bacterial small subunit ribosomal RNA
Source: RNAcentral
CUGCGUGAAGUUGGAAUCGCUAGUAAUCGCGGAUCAGCAUGCCGCGGUGAAUACGUUCCCGGGCCUUGUACACACCGCCCGUCACACCAUGAGAGUCGGGAACACCCGAAGUCCGUAGCCUAACCGCAAGGGGGCGCGGCCGAAGGUGGGUUCGAUAAUUGGGGUGAAGUCGUAACAAGGUAAC